GGGAGGGAGGGAGGGAGGGAGGGAUGGAGGGAGGGUAGGGCAUGAUUCGCUCACGAUUAGCUCGCUUAGGUGUUUUGUACCGGUGUUAGAACGUGUACGUACGUUUGAAGUUUGCGUGCAACUGCGAUGACAAGAUUAUUUUCCGUGCUGUUCAAACUUCAAUUUCAAUUUGCCGCUUAUGCUUCACUUAUCGUCGACGCGUGAUGGAGUAGCGCACUGCGAAUCGUACGAGAGAUUCACGAGAUUCACGAGAGCGAACCGAGACGAAGAAAGAGGGAACGUUGCGAUGGAGAGAGAAAAAGGGAGAGAGAGAGAGAGAAAAAAAAGGGAAGGAAAAUGCAAUGAAAGUAGUCAGUUGCAUAACACUCACAGGGUUUUCAAAUCUUUACAACUUAUUUUCUAAAGGCUUAAGAUAACAUUUAUAUAGCCGUGAAAUGGUCUUCUUUUUAAUGAGAUUUAUAUGAUGGAUAUCGUAGUCUCUGGGCAAUCAAAGAUGGCACUAUGUAUAGAUUAUAAACGAGAUAUCUUUAAAUAAGUCCUAAGGGUACGCGAACGAAUAUAAAACUCGAAUUAUUUUUAUUGAAUUUUUAUAAUUCACGGGCAAAGACUUUUUAAUCGGUAAUCAUUCUCAUCGUAUAUAUGUUCCCAUUUUUACGCGAUUAUAUGCGUUCGAUUCAUAUAAUUUUCCUACUAGAUUAUAUAUAUAUAUAUUAUAUAUUAUAUAUAUGUAUUUACGCAACGAAUUAGUUCUUAAUCGUAAUUGCAAUAUAAUUUUAUUUUUUUUCUUCAUAAUUAUAGAAACGUACUUAAAAUAUUUUUCAUUCGUACUUAAGAUAUAUCUAUGUCAUUUUUUAUGCGCGAAGAAGAGUUUAUAUGUCUAUGGAAUUCUUUAAGGAGAAGAAAAAAAAAAAAGAAAAAAGAAAAAAAGAAAACAAAAAAGGAAA
Molecule: long non-coding RNA, 944 nt
Filed under: Apis florea (little honeybee)
Lineage: Eukaryota; Metazoa; Arthropoda; Insecta; Hymenoptera; Apidae
Description: uncharacterized LOC116415306, transcript variant X1
Source: RNAcentral